Molecule: ribosomal RNA, 445 nt
Filed under: Fusarium solani
Lineage: Eukaryota; Fungi; Ascomycota; Sordariomycetes; Hypocreales; Nectriaceae
Description: eukaryotic LSU rRNA
Rfam family: 5.8S ribosomal RNA (bases 120-273)
Source: RNAcentral
AUACCUAAACGUUGCUUCGGCGGGAACAGACGGCCCCGUGAAACGGGCCGCCCCCGCCAGAGGACCCCUAACUCUGUUUCUAUAAUGUUUCUUCUGAGUAAAACAAGCAAAUAAAUUAAAACUUUCAACAACGGAUCUCUUGGCUCUGGCAUCGAUGAAAAACGCACCGAAAUGCGAUAAGUAAUGUGAAUUGCAAAAUUCAGUGAAUCAUCGAAUCUUUGAACGCACAUUGCGCCCGCCAGUAUUCUGGCGGGCAUGCCUGUGCGAGCGUCGUUACAACCCUCAGGCCCCCGGGCCUGGCGUUGGGGAUCGGCGGAGCCCCCGGUGGGCGCACGCCGUCCCCCAAAUACAGUGGCGGUCCCGCCGCAGCUUCCAUCGCGUAGUAGCUAACACCUCGCGACUGGAGAGCGGCGCGGCCACGCCGUAAAACACCCAACUCUUCUGA